Molecule: ribosomal RNA, 116 nt
Filed under: Gammaproteobacteria bacterium
Lineage: Bacteria; Pseudomonadati; Pseudomonadota; Gammaproteobacteria
Source: RNAcentral
CCUGGCGGCAUUAGCGAGUUGGAACCACCCGAUCCCAUCCCGAACUCGGAAGUGAAACGGCUCAGCGCCGAUGAUAGUGUGGGGUUUCCCCAUGUGAAAGUAGGUCACUGCCAGGC